UGGGUGAGACUGAACAAUUUUAUGUAAAUUUUCAUUUUAAACAAGAACGUUUUCAAACAGUUCUAUGUGGGCUCUCUAGAGGUGAAUUUCAUACUUUCAUUGAUUUGCUUGAUUCAUAUUUUUCAAUUAAAGUUGAAAACUUUGUGCAAGGGCACAUGUGUUAACAGUAUCUCAUAACCGUUUUCCCCUCGAACUUGCGCUGUGUGGUGGCUAAAGUUCUACCAUGAGGUCACUGCAUGCGGGAAAAUAUCAGCAAAUUAGUGUCUGGGAAGUCAAUAGUUCAAUAUUGGUACAUGUAAGAAAUUAAAAAGGAUUUUCUUUAAAAAAAAAAGUUUUUACAUUCACUGCUCUAAAGAGAAAAAACUUAGCCCUUCAAGUAUGUAAGACAUGUUUAAUUUCUAUUUUUUAAAAGGAGUAUGUUCAGUAAGGUCCUAAAAUGGCCCCCUUUUUUAGCGUAAAUUUCAAAUUCGGAUUUAUUGACCAAUAUCACAAUAAAUUAAAGCUAAUAUAGUGACUAGAUAGGAAAUAAGCUAUUUUGUUGAAAACUUUACGUUUCUACGUUACAUUAUGACGUCACAAGUUGCACUCAUAUUGAUUUUUCACGAAAAAAUCAAUGAAAAAAGGUAAAUUUCAAUAGAUUAUUGGACAGGAAACAUAGAGCGCAUACGUCGACAACAAAGAUCUUUUAAAAUAAUGUUUGUGAAGACAUUU
RNAcentral lists this long non-coding RNA (711 nucleotides) under Mytilus galloprovincialis (Mediterranean mussel). The record is from RNAcentral. Lineage: Eukaryota; Metazoa; Mollusca; Bivalvia; Mytilida; Mytilidae.